Molecule: non-coding RNA, 161 nt
Organism: Hypanus sabinus (Atlantic stingray)
Lineage: Eukaryota; Metazoa; Chordata; Chondrichthyes; Myliobatiformes; Dasyatidae
Product: small Cajal body-specific RNA 1
Exons: 1
Source: RefSeq, a predicted model, not a curated record
AUGCACCAGAUACUAACCUGGCUAUCAAUGUCACAGCUCUGAUCGAUGCUUGAGACAAUCCAUGAUGGUUGGGUCCAAGUGGUGCUAAAUCAAAGUAAGCCUGGAGAAUAUUAACUCAGCGUAUGGAGAAAGACCAUGAGAUAUAACUCAAAGGCACAUUU